CAAGAAAUAGUUUUAUAAAAAUAUUAAUUUUGGGAAUUAAAGAUAAAGAUAGAUUCUUUUUUCUUGA
This 67-nucleotide transfer RNA is filed under the name Limatus durhamii. RNAcentral's name for it is "tRNA-Pro". Lineage: Eukaryota; Metazoa; Arthropoda; Insecta; Diptera; Culicidae. The record is from RNAcentral.